RNAcentral lists this ribosomal RNA (379 nucleotides) under uncultured cyanobacterium. RNAcentral describes it as "bacterial SSU rRNA". It matches the Rfam family "Bacterial small subunit ribosomal RNA", at positions 376 to 770 of the family's 1533-position model. Lineage: Bacteria; Bacillati; Cyanobacteriota. The record is from RNAcentral.
CGAAAGCCUGACGGAGCAAGACCGCGUGAGGGAGGAAGGCUCUUGGGUUGUAAACCUCUUUUCUCAGGGAAGAAGCUCUGACGGUACCUGAGGAAUCAGCCUCGGCUAACUCCGUGCCAGCAGCCGCGGUAAUACGGAGGAGGCAAGCGUUAUCCGGAAUUAUUGGGCGUAAAGCGUCCGUAGGUGGUUAAUCAAGUCUGCUGUUAAAGAGCGGAGCUCAACUCCGUUUAAGCGGUGGAAACUGGUUGACUAGAGAGUGGUAGGGGUAGAGGGAAUUCCCAGUGUAGCGGUGAAAUGCGUAGAUAUUGGGAAGAACACCGGUGGCGAAAGCGCUCUACUGGGCCACAUCUGACACUGAGGGACGAAAGCUAGGGGAGCG